UUUCCGUAGGUGAACCAGCGGAAGGAUCAUUAUUGUAUAACCGAGGUGCGAGGGCUGUCGCUAACCCGCCCGGUCGUACACGCUCCAGUGCCCUCACACACCCCCAUCCCACCCCUAUGUGCCCCACCGCGCCGGUCCCCCUUCGGCUUGUUCGGAGGUGGCCUUACGUUUUCCCACACUCUUUGUAUGCAGUGUAGUCUAUAUUUUUUGUUUUUGCUCUCACGCCAUCAAUAAAACUUUCAACAACGGACCUCUUGCGUCUCGCCUCGAUUCAGAAAG
Molecule: unclassified non-coding RNA, 279 nt
Filed under: plant metagenome
Description: partial contains small subunit ribosomal RNA, internal transcribed spacer 1, and 5.8S ribosomal RNA
Source: RNAcentral